RNAcentral lists this ribosomal RNA (1320 nucleotides) under Mazosia aff. melanophthalma UPS Frisch 11/Ug140c. RNAcentral's name for it is "LSU rRNA". It matches the Rfam family "Eukaryotic large subunit ribosomal RNA", at positions 177 to 1398 of the family's 3401-position model. The record is from RNAcentral. Lineage: Eukaryota; Fungi; Ascomycota; Arthoniomycetes; Arthoniales; Roccellaceae.
CGGGCCAAGUCCCCUGGAACGGGGCGUCCAAGAGGGUGAGAGCCCCGUACCCUCCCGGCCGGCACGUCGCCGUGUGAAGCUCCUUCGACGAGUCGAGUUGUUUGGGAAUGCAGCUCCAAGCGGGAGGUAAAUUCCUUCUAAGGCUAAAUAUCGGCCGGAGACCGAUAGCGCACAAGUAGAGUGAUCGAAAGAUGAAAAGCACUUUGGAAAGAGAGUCAAAAAGCACGUGAAAUUGUUGAAAGGGAAGCUCUUGCCGCCAGACUUGCCGCGGUCGCUCAGCCGCCCCCCGGGGCGGCGUACUCUUCCGCGGCGGGCCAGCGUCAGCCCGGAGCGGUCGGACAAACGCGUCGGGAACGUAGCUCCCCUCGGGGAGUGUUAUAGCCCUUCGCGCCAUGCGGCCGCCCGGCCUGAGGCACGCGUUCGCGAGGACGCUGGCGUAAUGGCCGCAAGCGACCCGUCUUGAAACACGGACCAAGGAGUCUAGCAUCCACGCGAGUGUUCGGGUGUCAAACCCGCGCGCGCAAUCAACGUGAACGGAGGUGGGAACCCUCGGGGUGCACCUUCGAACGAUCCUGAUGUCCUCGGAUGGAUUUGAGUAAGAGCGUGGCCGCUGGGACCCGAAAGAUGGUGAACUAUACCUGGAUAGGGUGAAGCCAGAGGAAACUCUGGUGGAGGCUCGCAGCGGUUCUGACGUGCAAAUCGAUCGUCAAAUCUUGGUAUAGGGGCGAAAGGUGAGCGUCUAUGAGCGCCGAAACUAGAGGGAUCAGAGGGCUAACGGUUGGGUUUUUACAGACUAAUCGAACCAUCUAGUAGCUGGUUCCUGCCGAAGUUUCCCUCAGGAUAGCAGUGACGUCUUCAGUUUUAUGAGGUAAAGCGAAUGAUUAGAGGCCUUGGGGUUGAAACAACCUUAACCUAUUCUCAAACUUUAAAUAUGUAAGAAGCCCUUGUUGCUUAAUUGAACGUGGGCAUUCGAAUGCACCGUCACUAGUGGGCCAUUUUUGGUAAGCAGAACUGGCGAUGCGGGAUGAACCGAAAGCGAGGUUAAGGUGCCGGAAUGCACGCUUAUCGGAUACCACAAAAGGUGUUAGUUGAUCUUGACAGCCGGACGGUGGCCAUGGAAGUCGGAACCCGCUAAGGAUAGUGGUUAGUACCCCGACGUGCCCCCGAUCGUCCCGUCACAGACACGCUGACAGCCCCCCGACAGUAACAACUCACCGGCCGAAUCAACUAGCCCUGAAAAUGGAUGGCGCUCAAGCGUGCUACCCACACCUCGCCGCCGGGGCAGGAACGAUGCCCCGGCGAGUAGGCAGGCGCGGGGGU